This 2208-nucleotide long non-coding RNA is filed under the name Carassius auratus (goldfish). RNAcentral's name for it is "lncRNA (ENSCARG00000002212.1)". Lineage: Eukaryota; Metazoa; Chordata; Actinopteri; Cypriniformes; Cyprinidae. The record is from RNAcentral.
UUUAUGACAUUGCCUUUCUAUAUAUAUAUAUAUCAUUCAGCAGGGGACCUCAGCACAGUAAGCUGAAACUCUCAUAGCUCCAGGACAUGGCCAUUUGACUGAGUCCUUGUCAGAGAGACAUUUAAUAUGUCAAGGUGAAUAAGAACAGCUUCUUUUGUGCGUCUCAUUUGUGUCCGAGCUCAGAGGAAAUUGAGCGGUUCUUGGCAUAAUAAGCUUCAAUGCCAAUUAAUCUUCUUGGAGUGUUUUAUUAAACGUUUGCAACUGAAAUCCAUUUUCAGCACUCAGUUUCACAGUAAGGCACUAGGCAAUUUGCAGAAGGUCAAAUAUUAAAUGAGCUCUUAUUGUUUUCUGUUAUUAUUAUUAUCUAAUAUUUUUAUCCUAUUAUUUCAGCUCACAGUCACAUGAGGUUAAAGCCGUCAAAAACGUGAUGUCCUCUAAAAACAACCCGAUCAGUUUGACGUCCAUGAGUCACUUGUGCCAGUUUAACCUCCUGUCACUAUUUUCAGCGCAUAUUUCAGAGGGUCUUAUAAUAGAAGCCCAAAAUAACAAGCGGAGGUUUAUUAUCAUUGUCUAUUUAGUGAGGGUAAAUAUCAUCACAUCUCUAAAUCUAAGGGCUAAUCUAGGGUCAGUUUUGCCUUAUCCAGAACGGAAGUGAUCCUGAAACGGACAUCUGAGACUCUAGAUAUCCAUAUGGACCCAGAUCAGCAGGGGGAAGUGAGUAUUCUCACCAGAGAACAUUCAAUGCCAGUACGACUUCACCACUCGCAGCCUCGGAGGGAGCCGUUAAUGACAAUUCACAGCCAACUUCCAUCUCUUGGGCUGCUGAAUCCCUGCGUUUAGAAGCAUCUAAAAUUCAUGACAGAUUUGUUAUAAUCCCAGGCAGAGCUACACAGCAGUGUUCUCUAAACUCAACUGACAGCACACUGUACAAGAAGAGUCUUUAAAGACCUCAUCAACAGGCAGUGUGCUAAAUACGGCACACAAUAUUUUUUUUUCCCUCCUCUCCCAACCUACAUAUAGCCAUGUUUUUGUGAGUAUGAACCCUUUUUUCCCACUUUGAUCUCUGUGAUUGUGGAGGGGCCCUCCAUCCAUGUGAUAAACAGCAGCUUGACUCCCUUCGCCAGCCCAUGCAUGUGUUUCUGGGAGCGACUCUGACCCCUUGGAUGUUAAAAUCGCUGGUGUGUGCGUAAAUGUGGGGGCCGACUCUCUGCUGUGAGAUGUACAGGGUCAUACAUGCAUGUGUGGGUGGUAGUAUAUAUCUGUCUCUCUCUGUUUCUGCCAACCGCACUGUACUCACUAUGCAAGAGAGAGAGAGAGAGAGAGAGAGAGAGAGAGAGAGAGAGAGAGAGAGAGAGAGAGAGUAGAUGCGUUUAUGAUGAAUCUUCUUAAAAAAAAUACUAUAUGCAUGAGCACAUCAAUAAAUAAUUUGUGUUAUUUAAAGCAUCAGUAGUAAUUACUCUCUAUUGACAUGGAAAUUACUUUUUUAGAACCUGUUUGAGGAAACGAGGAGACUUACGUAAUGUGGUAAAAGCACUCAAAUAUCUGCCAAUGCCACCUGGUGGACUCGAUUCAGGGAGGGAAAAUCUCGUGUUCUGAUUGGACGGUGACGUGUGUAGAAACAUCUGGUGUUGUAGAAGGGUAUUUGUGAGGUCACGGGGACGACACGGCCAGAUGCCUGAAGGCGCUGCUGGAGACUUGGACAGGAAGACAAUCGCUCUGAUAACUGCCGCAGCGAGCUGGCCCUCGACUCUGUGAAUACACAGCGUACAUUUCCUUACAGAGUUACACAUAUUUCUGAUGACUGAUGUGCAUUUUGAGAUACAGUGUUAAAAGAUUAUGAUGAAAACGUACUAUACUUGUGGUUAGAGAUUGGAAAACACCUACACUUACAGCAAAGGUCACACAAAAUAAACAUUUGUCGAAAAUGUAGUUCAAACAGCUGAUAAAAACAUACACAAGUAAUCCACACAACUCCAGUCCAUCAAUUAAUAUCUUGUGAAGUGAAAAGACGCUUGUUUGUAAGAAACCAAUCCAUAAAUCAUUGCUUCUGGCCAAAAUACCAGUUCAUAAUCCAUAAUAACACUUUCUCUGUAAAAAGACUAUCCCCUGUUGUCCUCUUACAUCAAAAUCCAUAGACAUAUUUGUGUAGAUCUGUUUUGGACUUAUAAUAUUUUUUAUCUUGUAAACACUGCCUAAUCUGUGCAUGUU